RNAcentral lists this ribosomal RNA (460 nucleotides) under uncultured bacterium. RNAcentral's name for it is "partial 16S ribosomal RNA". It matches the Rfam family "Bacterial small subunit ribosomal RNA", at positions 338 to 795 of the family's 1533-position model. The record is from RNAcentral.
CCUACGGGAGGCAGCAGUGAGGAAUAUUGGUCAAUGGACGAGAGUCUGAACCAGCCAAGUAGCGUGAAGGAUGACUGCCCUAUGGGUUGUAAACUUCUUUUAUAUGGGAAUAAAACGUUCCACGUGUGGGAUUUUGUAUGUACCAUAUGAAUAAGGAUCAGCUAACUCCGUGCCAGCAGCCGCGGUAAUACGGAGGAUCCGAGCGUUAUCCGGAUUUAUUGGGUUUAAAGGGAGCGUAGGUGGAUUGUUAAGUCAGUUGUGAAAGUUUGCGGCUCAACCGUAAAAUUGCAGUUGAAACUGGCAGUCUUGAGUACAGUAGAGGUGGGCGGAAUUCGUGGUGUAGCGGUGAAAUGCUUAGAUAUCACGAAGAACUCCGAUUGCGAAGGCAGUUCACUGGACUGCAACUGACACUGAGGCUCGAAAGUGUGGGUAUCAAACAGGAUUAGAUACCCUUGUAGUC